Molecule: ribosomal RNA, 553 nt
Filed under: Moniliella sp. UWO(PS)95-766.4
Lineage: Eukaryota; Fungi; Basidiomycota; Moniliellomycetes; Moniliellales; Moniliellaceae
Description: LSU rRNA
Rfam family: Eukaryotic large subunit ribosomal RNA
Source: RNAcentral
AACAUACAUGGAUUCCCCUAGUAGCGGCGAGCGAAGCGGGAAGAGCCCAGAAUGGAAAGCUCCCGACAGGGCGCAUUGUAAUCUGGAGACGUGCCUCGUGCGGUGCGGCUGGACUUCAAGUCUGCUGGAAAGCAGCAUCGGAGAGGGUGAAAAUCCCGUGCUUGGUCUGGCUCUAGUGCCGUGUUGUGGGGCGCGCUCGACGAGUCGCGUUGUUUGGGAAUGCAGCGCAAAGUGGGGUGGUAAACGCCAUCCAAGGCUAAAUAUGGGGGAGAGACCGAUAGCGAACAAGUACCGUGAGGGAAAGAUGAAAAGAACUUUGGAAAGAGAGUUAAACAGUACGUGAAAUUGCCAAAAGGGAAGCGUUGGCAGUCAGUACCGCAAGGUGCGCCCUGUCUCCUCGGCUUCUGCCGUGGGAUUUAUGGGGCUGCACGUGGGGCCCAUGUCGGUUCGCGGCGGGGGAGAAGGCUGUGGGGAAGGUAGCUCCUGCUUCGGCGGGAGUGUUUAUAGCCCUGCAGCGGAUACUCUGCCUUGCGGACCGAGGUCUGUUCGGGAC